RNAcentral lists this long non-coding RNA (663 nucleotides) under Homo sapiens (human). Its description in RNAcentral is "HSALNT0298093". Lineage: Eukaryota; Metazoa; Chordata; Mammalia; Primates; Hominidae. The record is from RNAcentral.
GAGCCCCCUCACCAUGUGAUGUCCCAAGCUGCCUUGGGACUCUGCAGAGGGUCCCCAUAAGAGGAAGGCCCCGACUAGAUGGAAUCCUUUGUCCCUGGACUUCUCAGCCUCCAGAACUCUUUCCCAUUGAGUGUUUUCAAUGGGAAAUGUCUAACUGCUCUGUGGGUGUACACCACGGCCAGUUGCUAAUUUUGGAACACUUGUGAAUCCUGGGCCCAGAGUCAUGACCAAUACUGGAUUCCCCAGGAUCAACCAUCUGAGCAGAUACCUUGGAAUGUCCCCAGAUUUCAGAGCCUCGGACCAGCAGCAACACACUCUGAAGUAGGUCUCAGAAGACAAAAAGCUGAAAUCAACUCAUGCUUCCUGCUACACAGAAUCCACUGAGAGGAAAAGGAAACUUCACCGAAACUUCAGAAAGCUACAGAAAUGACAUCCAUUUUCACAAUCCCAGAAGGAAAGAUGCAUCUGAAGGGAAUAAAAACAGAGCAAUGGAAGAGUAUUUGUUAAAAUAAAUGGCUUUGACAGGGCAUUUUCUCUAAAGGUCUCCUUUGCCUCAAAUAGUACUCCUGCCUUCAGUCCAUCUUGCAUGCCACCCAGCUGUGGGCAUCCUGGCAGUUGCUGCCAUGUCCUUGCCUAAAAGCCUCCACCCCCAACCAACCCACC